GAGUAUUGCUCAUGGCCUGUUAGUCUAGCCAUGGCUGAUGGGCUCCAUUCCGGUGGUACAACAGCUCCAGCAACACAUGACUGACUUGUGGCUCUCAGUUUCAGGUCCUGGGGACACAG
Hyaena hyaena (striped hyena) is the source of this 119-nucleotide small nucleolar RNA. Lineage: Eukaryota; Metazoa; Chordata; Mammalia; Carnivora; Hyaenidae. The record is from RefSeq and is a predicted model, not a curated record.